AUCGAACGCUGGCGGCAUGCUUAACACAUGCAAGUCGAGCGGAAGAAGGCAGCUUGCUCCUGGAUUCAGCGGCGGGCGGGUGAGAAAAGCCUAGGAGUCUGCUUGGCAGUGGGGGAUAACGUCCGGAAACGGCUGCGAAUACUGCCUACUUCGUGAGGGAGAAACUGGGGGGUCUUCGGACCCGGCGGUAUCGGAUGGACGUGGGGCUGAUUAGCUAGUUGGUGGGGUAGUGGCUUACCAAGCCUAUGUUGGGUAGCUGGCCUGAGAGGGUGACCGGCCACAUGGGGACUGAGAUACGGCCCAGACUGCAACGGGAGGCAGCAGUGGGGAAUAUUGCACAAUGGGCGGAAGCCUGAGGCAGCAACGCCGCGUGCGGGAUGACGGCCUUCGGGUUGUAAACCGCUUUCGCCUGUGACGAAGCGUGAGUGACGGUAAUGGGUAAAGAAGCACCGGCUAACUACGUG
This 464-nucleotide ribosomal RNA is filed under the name uncultured bacterium. Its description in RNAcentral is "partial 16S ribosomal RNA". It matches the Rfam family "Bacterial small subunit ribosomal RNA", at positions 28 to 507 of the family's 1533-position model. The record is from RNAcentral.